CCUGUCCCCGUCGGGGUCUCCUUGAGGGUGUCCUGGUGCCGUCCAUGUCCCCAUGGGGGUCUCAUCCAGGGGGUCCUGGCGCCGUCCAUGUCCCCAUGGGGGGGGAGGGUCUCACCGUUGGGGACCGAACACCGUCCCCAUCCAUGGUAGGGGUCUCACCAUGGUGGUCCCAGCAGUGUCCCCAUCCCGGUUGGGGUCUCGUCCUGGUGAUCGGGGCCAUCGUCCCCAUCCAUGGUCGGGGUCUCGUUGAGGGUGUCCUGGUGCUGUCCAUGUCCUCGGGGGGGGGUCUCACUGCUGGGGACGAAACACCGUCCCCAUCCUGGUUGGGGUCUCACCAUGGUGGUCCCGGCAUCAUCCAUGUCUCGGUUGGGGUCUUGUCCUGGUGGUUGGAGCCACUGUCCCCAUCCUGGUUGGGGUCUCACCAUGGUGGUCCCAGCAUCAUCCAUGUCUCGGUUGGGGUCUUGUCCUGGUGGUUGGGGCCAUCAUCCCCAUCCAUGGUUGAGGUCUCAUCAUGGUGGUCCCGGCAUCAUCCAUGUCUUGGUCGAGGUCUUGUCCUGGAGAUUGGGGCCACCGUCCCCAUCCAUGGUCGAGGUCUCCUCAUGGUGGUCCCAGCACUGUCCCCAUCCAUGGUCAGGGUCUCACCAUGGGGGUCCUGGUACCGUCCCCAUCUCCGUUGGGGUGUCACCAUGGUCACCCUGGCAUCAUCCAUUUCUCAGUUGGGGUCUUGUCCCGGAGAUUGGGGCCACCGUCCCCGUCCAUGGUUGAGGUCUCACCAUGGGGGUCCCAGCAUCAUCCAUGUCUUGGUCGAGGUCUUGUCUUGGAGAUUGGGGCCACUGUCCCCAUCCAUGGUUGAGGUCUCACCAUGGUCACCCUGGCAUCAUCCAUACCUUGGUUGAGGUCUUGUCCUGGUGGUUGGAGCCACCAUCCCCAUCCUGGUCAGGGUCUCACCACGGGGGUCCCAGCACCGUCCCCAUCCCGGUCGGGGUCUCGUCCCAGUGGUCGGGGCCACCAUCCCCAUCCACGGCCGUGGCAUCACCGCGGGGGUCCCGUCCCCGACCCCGUCCCCGCGGGGGGGUGGUGGGCGGCCGCCUCAGGACCCGCCGUAUUCGGCGUGCGGCACCCGCCCGUCCGGGAAGCCCCGAGCG
RNAcentral lists this long non-coding RNA (1145 nucleotides) under Apteryx rowi (Okarito brown kiwi). RNAcentral describes it as "lncRNA (ENSARWG00000011658.1)". Lineage: Eukaryota; Metazoa; Chordata; Aves; Apterygiformes; Apterygidae. The record is from RNAcentral.